GAUGAACGCUGGCGGCGUGCCUAAUACAUGCAAGUCGAGCGAACGGACGAUAAGCUUGCUUCUCUGAUGUUAGCGGCGGACGGGUGAGUAACACGUGGAUAACCUACCUAUAAGACUGGGAUAACUUCGGGAAACCGGAGCUAAUACCGGAUAAUAUUUUGAACCGCAUGGUUCAAAAGUGAAAGACGGUCUUGCUGUCACUUAUAGAUGGAUCCGCGCUGCAUUAGCUAGUUGGUAAGGUAACGGCUUACCAAGGCAACGAUGCAUAGCCGACCUGAGAGGGUGAUCGGCCACACUGGAACUGAGACACGGUCCAGACUCCUACGGGAGGCAGCAGUAGGGAAUCUUGCGCAAUGGGCGAAAGCCUGACGGAGCAACGCCGCGUGAGUGAUGAAGGUCUUCGGAUCGUAAAACUCUGUUAUUAGGGAAGAACAUAUGUGUAAGAAACUGUGCACAUCUUGACGGUACCUAAUCAGAAAGCCACGGCUAACUACGUG
RNAcentral lists this ribosomal RNA (497 nucleotides) under uncultured bacterium. RNAcentral describes it as "partial 16S ribosomal RNA". It matches the Rfam family "Bacterial small subunit ribosomal RNA", at positions 28 to 507 of the family's 1533-position model. The record is from RNAcentral.